Molecule: unclassified non-coding RNA, 182 nt
Filed under: uncultured fungus
Lineage: Eukaryota; Fungi
Description: sequence contains ITS1
Source: RNAcentral
AUGAGUUGCAAAACUCCAAGACCCUUUGUGAACCUUACCUACACCGUUUCCUCGGCGGGCGGCGGCAAGCCGUAACCGGAUUCCCCGCCUCUUCUAUUGGGAGAGCGGGGGCUGGGCCCGCCGAAGGCACUCUAACUCUUAUCUUCAGUUGGCCUCUCUGAGUUGUACUUACAAAUAAGUCA